RNAcentral lists this long non-coding RNA (299 nucleotides) under Actinidia chinensis (golden kiwifruit). Its description in RNAcentral is "long non-coding RNA (ACHI_LNC000954)". Lineage: Eukaryota; Viridiplantae; Streptophyta; Magnoliopsida; Ericales; Actinidiaceae. The record is from RNAcentral.
GACCGAGGUAAGGCAUUGCCUAGUCUACGGAAAAAUUUGAUUUCCAUGGAGUUGUAAGAUUCGAAGGGAUGUAGCUUUGAAGCUAGUGGAACACUUAGAGUUUCCAAGGGAAAUAGGAGAUUCUGCAGGGAAGGAAGACUAAAGGGCUAUACUGACUGGAGGGUAGUGUACAGGCAGGAGGAGUUACUGUCAAACAUGGGUCCAGAGGUAUUAACAAGAAGAAUGGACAAGGGAAGCAAUCGUUGUACAGAGGCACGCAAAGUAAGCGCAGGGGUACCUGGAGGACCCAGAGUGGUACA